RNAcentral lists this ribosomal RNA (251 nucleotides) under uncultured prokaryote. RNAcentral's name for it is "partial 16S rRNA". It matches the Rfam family "Bacterial small subunit ribosomal RNA", at positions 525 to 775 of the family's 1533-position model. The record is from RNAcentral.
ACGUAGGGUGCAAGCGUUGUUCGGAAUUACUGGGCGUAAAGGGGGAGUAGGCGGAAAGAAAAGUCAGAUGUGAAAGCCCUGUGCUUAACGCAGGAAGAGCAUUUGAAACUAUCUAACUAGAGUGUAUUAUGGGAGCGUGGAAUUCCUAGUGUAGCGGUGAAAUGCGUAGAUAUUAGGAGGAAGACUCGUGGCGAAGGCGACGCUCUGGGGUAACACUGACGCUGAGGACCGAAAGCAUGGGGAGCAAACAG